GAUGAACGCUGGCGGCGUGCCUAAUACAUGCAAGUCGAGCGAACGGACGAGAAGCUUGCUUCUCUGAUGUUAGCGGCGGACGGGUGAGUAACACGUGGAUAACCUACCUAUAAGACUGGGAUAACUUCGGGAAACCGUAGCUAAUACCGGAUAAUAUUUUGAACCGCAUGGUUCAAAAGUGAAAGACGGUCUUGCUGUCACUUAUAGAUGGAUCCGCGCUGCAUUAGCUAGUUGGUAAGGUAACGGCUUACCAAGGCAACGAUGCAUAGCCGACCUGGGAGGGUGAUCGGCCCCACUGGAACUGAGCCACGGUCCCGGCCCCUACGGGAGGCCGCAGUAGGGAAUCUUCCGCAAUGGGCGAAAACCUGACGGAGCGACGGCGCGUGAGGGAUGACGGUCUUCGGAUCGUAAAACUCUGUUAUUAGGGAAGAACAUAUGUGUAAGUAACUGUGCGCAUCUUGACGGUACCUAAUCAGAAAGCCACGGCUAACUACGUG
This 497-nucleotide ribosomal RNA is filed under the name uncultured bacterium. RNAcentral describes it as "partial 16S ribosomal RNA". It matches the Rfam family "Bacterial small subunit ribosomal RNA", at positions 28 to 507 of the family's 1533-position model. The record is from RNAcentral.